GGCUGGGUAGCUCAGGCGGUUAGAGCGUGGGAUUCAUAACCCCAAGGUCGCGAGUUCAACUCUCGCCCCAGCUACCA
Molecule: transfer RNA, 77 nt
Filed under: Planctomycetota bacterium
Lineage: Bacteria; Pseudomonadati; Planctomycetota
Description: Planctomycetes bacterium (activated sludge metagenome) tRNA-Met
Rfam family: tRNA
About the family: Transfer RNA (tRNA) molecules are approximately 80 nucleotides in length. Their secondary structure includes four short double-helical elements and three loops (D, anti-codon, and T loops).
Source: RNAcentral